UUAAUAAGCGGAGGAAAAGAAACUAACAAGGAUUCCCUCAGUAACGGCGAGUGAAGCGGGAAGAGCUCAAAUUUGAAAUCUCCGAUGCCUGCAUCGGCGAGUUGUAGUUGCGAGAAGCACUUUCUAGGCGGAUCGGCGGUGCCUAAGUUGCUUGGAACAGCACGUCGCAGAGGGUGACAACCCCGUCUGUGGUGCCGGCGGCCGCCGACGAUGUGCUUUCGAAGAGUCGGGUUGUUUGGGAAUGCAGCCCAAAAGGGGUGGUAAACUCCAUCUAAAGCUAAAUACUGGCGUGAGACCGAUAGCGA
RNAcentral lists this ribosomal RNA (305 nucleotides) under Lobophyllia sinuosa. RNAcentral describes it as "partial 28S rRNA". It matches the Rfam family "Eukaryotic large subunit ribosomal RNA", at positions 43 to 343 of the family's 3401-position model. The record is from RNAcentral. Lineage: Eukaryota; Metazoa; Cnidaria; Anthozoa; Scleractinia; Lobophylliidae.